RNAcentral lists this long non-coding RNA (924 nucleotides) under Chinchilla lanigera (long-tailed chinchilla). RNAcentral describes it as "lncRNA (ENSCLAG00000027569.1)". The record is from RNAcentral. Lineage: Eukaryota; Metazoa; Chordata; Mammalia; Rodentia; Chinchillidae.
UGAAAACACUCACUCAGAUUGGUUUAAACACCUUUGCUAUAUUGUGCAACUGCCUUGAAAAGCCCCAUCAGCAUUACCAGCCUUUCAUUCGUUCAUCCAUGCUGCAUCACUCAGUGAAGGGACUCACUCUGAAGCCAAGAGUGUCAUUUCAAAGGACCUGAUUACCCGCUAGCAAUGUCUCUCUUCCACCACCAUGCACGUGCUUUCUUCUCAUAAAAUCAGAACAGACAACAAAGCUGGGCAUACACUGUUUGAACAAGGGAAUCCUUGGCACCGUUCCGAAAUCCAGGGUGUGACUACUGGCAUUCCUUUCCAGGGGCCACCUUCCCGGGGAUGGAAGAUGAAAAGAAGUGCAGCCAUCGCACCGGAUGCGGUGCGGCACUUGCAGAGGAAUGAGAGCCCCAUCAGGAUCCUCAUUAAAGGGAAAUGCGAUUGGAAUGGAGUCAUCAUUCCGUGCCUGGCAAGGAUCCGCCUUCUCCAACCUCCAUCCCUUUCCACCAAUUCCAUUUGAAGUUGGAACUGGGCUCACAGACCUGGAUUUUUAAAAGCCACGGAUGCAAUCAAACAAUACACAUUGUAAGAGAAAGCUGCUGUGCCCGCAGCCAAAUGUGAUAAAGAAAGGGGAUAAAAACCGUAUAAUGGGUUUCAAGGCAAUUAGUUGGGUCUCUGAGAAUGCAGGUGCUGGGUAAUGCUCUCUCCGUUCAUCUAGCCAUUUAUGUACCACAAAAAAAAUAAAUAAAUAAAUCCUCUUCUCAAUAUCUACAGACAUUCUUUCUACCUCAUGGUGUUACUCCCCAAUAAACCGGGAAUGGAUCAGACCCAAGUCACGCUGUGUAUAAUACUAAUUAAGUAAGACAGGCAAAAAUAAUGGCUGCCUUGAUCCAUGAAGCACAAUCAUCGUGUUCCAGCCUGGACACAUCCUGC